Heteronotia binoei (common prickly gecko) is the source of this 171-nucleotide small nuclear RNA. RefSeq annotates it as U1 spliceosomal RNA. Lineage: Eukaryota; Metazoa; Chordata; Lepidosauria; Squamata; Gekkonidae. The transcript has a single exon. The record is from RefSeq and is a predicted model, not a curated record.
AUACUUACCUGGCAGGGAAGACACCAUGAUCAGGAAGUAGCUUUCCCAGGGUGAGGCUCACUCGUCGCACUCUGGGUGUGCUGACUCCUGCAAUUUUCCCAAAUGCAAGAAACUCAACUGCAUAAUUUGUGGUAGUGGGGGGGAUGGAUAACAACCAAUUUAGAGCACCAA